This 425-nucleotide ribosomal RNA is filed under the name uncultured bacterium. Its description in RNAcentral is "bacterial SSU rRNA". It matches the Rfam family "Bacterial small subunit ribosomal RNA", at positions 356 to 773 of the family's 1533-position model. The record is from RNAcentral.
GGGGAAUAUUGGACAAUGGGCGCAAGCCUGAUCCAGCCAUGCCGCGUGUGUGAAGAAGGCCCUCGGGUUGUAAAGCACUUUAAGCGAGGAGGAAGGUCAUCAUACUAAUACUAUGGUGAAUUGACGUUACUCGCAGAAUAAGCACCGGCUAACUCUGUGCCAGCAGCCGCGGUAAUACAGAGGGUGCAAGCGUUAAUCGGAAUUACUGGGCGUAAAGCGCGCGUAGGCGGUUUUUUAAGUCGGAUGUGAAAUCCCUGGGCUCAACCUAGGCACUGCAUCCGAUACUGGCUGACUAGAGUGUGGGAGAGGAAGGUAGAAUUCCAGGUGUAGCGGUGAAAUGCGUAGAGAUCUGGAGGAAUACCGAUGGCGAAGGCAGCCUUCUGGCCUAACACUGACGCUGAGGUGCGAAAGCAUGGGGAGCAAAC